Molecule: unclassified non-coding RNA, 2130 nt
Filed under: Leishmania donovani
Lineage: Eukaryota; Euglenozoa; Kinetoplastea; Trypanosomatida; Trypanosomatidae
Description: gene:LdHU3.35.0440(CDS-product:hypothetical_prote in_conserved)
Source: RNAcentral
GGGCGAAAAGAAAGCGCGCAACGCGGUGAAUGCCACGCGGCCUAGUCGGUGAGCCGCUACUUCUCAGCUCAGCUGCGGUACACGCAUACUCGAUUACACACCUCACAUACAUAGAUCGCCUUGGCACCGUCCGCGACGUACUUCAACGUCUGCGGGCUGGAUUCGCGUACGCGCGUGCAUCGCACUUGGCAGCAGUACGUGGCUAGGGGGAUGAUCAUCGUCGGCUGUGAUGCCCACGUACUUCUUCCGCAUUCCAUCGUUGCAGGUAUGCACAGUUUCGUUCUUCGGUGGAGGCACGCUCGUCCUAGGCAGCGGCCUCUGGGAUCUCAUGCGCUCCAGGCGCAACGCCGUUCCUGUGUUCAACAGCACCACUGUGGUCAAAACGGAGGAGUCGGCGCGCUACCCGUGCGAAAAAAUCAAGGGCUUUGAUGUUGUUGUGCGCAGCUUUUACGUAUCCGUAGCGACCGAUACCGACGGCCACGCUCCAGCGCCGGCGCUGUCUCUGCUGGCGCGGUUCCGCAGGCUUUCGGGUCUCUUCUCCAAUGAAACGCACCGUGUCGACAACGCUGAUCUAACCAAGACAACGGCAGCAGACCAGCCAGUCCGGUUGGUAGCACGGGAUGCCAAAGACUCAGAUGGCGGAGCCAACACAAGGCUCAUCGCAGCUGCGCACUGGCCACCGGGCACCUCCAAGUAUGCUGCCCUGAUCCUGGAGCCCACCCCGCGGGCCAGCGACGACUCGAGCGCCGCAUUGCCGGCGCAGUCGCGCUCGCUGCUGCGGCAGUUUGCUGACGGGGCCACCCACCAAUCUCUCUCCAGGUGCAACCCACGGUCCACGCUGCUGCACAUGGCGUGUGAGAGCGACCCGGCCUAUCUUGGUGCCCCCUACCUGCGUGUGCUCUUGAGCGCCUUCCUGCUGCUGCCGGCCACCCUCUCGCAGCUGAACGUUGCGGUUCUCGGCGUAGGCGGGGGAUCGCUGCCGCUGUUCCUCCAGCAGUAUUUCGCACCCCGACUGCACCGCUGUGACUUGGUGGAUGUCGAGCCGAUGUGCAUCAAGGCAGCAGUGGAGCAGCUUGGGAUGAAAGAGCUGCUGAACACGGUGGCGUUGCAGUGCGAGGGCGGUGGAGUGCACUACUACCUGGAGGACGCCGUCGACUACCUGUCGCACCGCGUUGGCGAUGCCGACUGCCGAACAGGGUGCCCUUUGCAAGCCGGGUCUGGGAGAUCAGCAGGGAGUGGAGAAGGCGCAUCUGCUGCUCCGCAUCACGGAACUCCUGUUUUCCAUGAUGCCGUUCAGCCGACCCCCGCCGCGGCGCGGGCUACCAGCGCCAAGCGCCAGCGCCAACUCGACUUGCUGUUCGUGGACCUGUUUGUCGGCAGCGAGCUCGAUACGACCGUUACAUCGCACGAGUUUCUGUGCCUGUGUCGCGGCUCCCUCUCCCCUCACGGGGUGGCCGCCUUCAACCUUCCGGCGGCGGACAAGCGGUUUGUGCAGCGCUGCAACGAGGUAUUUGGCAGCCGUAACGUGUACCGUAUUCCCGUUCCGGCAAGCUCGAACGAGGUGGUGCUGGCUCGCGGCGGGCCAAAGAACAGCGGCGCCGUGGCCGACGCUCCGCACCUCUCACACCGCCUCCUGUUUCGCCGCGCGCAGGAGCUGUCGGCGCAUUAUCGUCUUCCCUACGACCUGGCCAACCACUACCCUGUCUGGUGGCGACUGUGGUAGACGGGGUGGGUGGGUGGGCGGGAGAAGAGCUUAACGAUACGGCGCACAUGCACGCGCACACGCACGGCUGUGAUUGUUGAACGAACGAGGGCAUUCUUAAGCGCAGCUGCCUUAGCUUCGUAAAGAUAGGAGGGAGCGGUGAGAGAUCAUUGCGUUUCAGGUGAUCCCCCCCUCCCCCCCCCCGGCGCUCAUGCUCGUGUGCCUCACCGUUCGUACUUCACAGAGAGCUGCUUUUACCCAAGCAACGCGAACGCGACAAGAGCCCACGCGCAGCGAUUUGAGGGAAAGCUAAGCACCGUCAGAGAGGUUGAGGCGGCCAACGCAUACGACGGAUUAUGUGGACGAGUGAAGGAAGGACGACGGUGCCAUCGGCGCCAGAUGUAUCUCGAUUCACAGGCAUCAGCAAG